RNAcentral lists this ribosomal RNA (400 nucleotides) under Methylococcaceae bacterium TMED282. RNAcentral describes it as "bacterial LSU rRNA". It matches the Rfam family "Bacterial large subunit ribosomal RNA", at positions 2551 to 2925 of the family's 2925-position model. The record is from RNAcentral. RNAcentral also lists the same sequence under 1 other name. Lineage: Bacteria; Pseudomonadati; Pseudomonadota; Gammaproteobacteria; Methylococcales; Methylococcaceae.
GGCUGGAGCAGGUCCCAAGGGUAUGGCUGUUCGCCAUUUAAAGUGGUACGCGAGCUGGGUUUAGAACGUCGUGAGACAGUUCGGUCCCUAUCUGCCGUGGGCGCUGGAGACUUGAAGGUAGCUGCUCCUAGUACGAGAGGACCGGAGUGGACGUACCUCUGGUGUUCCGGUUGUCACGCCAGUGGCAUUGCCGGGUAGCUAUGUACGGAAAGGAUAACCGCUGAAAGCAUCUAAGCGGGAAGCCUCACCUAAGAUUAGGUCUCCCAAGAUACUUGAUAUCUUCUAAAGGGCCCUUGUAGACCACAAGGUUGAUAGGCCGGGUGUGGAAGUCCAGUAAUGGAUGAAGCUAACCGGUACUAAUUACCCGAGAGGCUUGACCAUAUAACGCUAAAACGUUUUG